AUGGCUGUCGUCAGCUCGUGUCGUGAGAUGUUUGGUUAAGUCCAGCAACGAGCGCAACCCCUUUCCUUAGUUGCCAGCACAUUAUGGUGGGGACUCUAAGGAUACUGCCCGGGAUAACCGGGAGAAAGGUGGGGAUGAUGUCAAGUCAGUAUGUCCCUUAUGUCCAGGGCUACACACGUGUUACAAUGGCUAGUACAAAGGGUUGCCAACCCGCGAGGGGGAGCCAAUCCCAAAAAACUAGCCCCAGUUCAGAUUGGAGUCUGCAACUCGACUCCAUGAAGGAGGAAUCGCUAGUAAUCGUGGAUCAGCACGCCACGGUGAAUACGUUCCCGGGUCUUGUACACACCGCCCGUCACGCCAUGGAAGUCAGCAGUACCCAAAGCAGGUCGCCUAACCUUCGGGAGGGAGCCUUUUAAGGUAAGGCUGGUAACUGGGGCGAAGUCGUAACAAGGUAGCCGUACCGGAAGGUGCGGCUGGAUCACCUCCUUUCUAAGGAGUAAUCCUGACUAUUAAAGUCGGGAUACGGUCGAACUCAAAGUUUUGGUCACGCAUACCAUUUAUUUUUGGGCUUGUAGCUCAGGUUGGUUAGAGCGCAUCUCUGAUAAGGAUGAGGUCCGUGGUUCGAGUCCACGCAGGCCCACUUAAGAGAAGCCCCUUUUUAAAACUGGGGCUAUAGCUCAGUUGGGAGAGCGCCUGGUUUGCAACCAGGAGGUCGUCGGUUCGACCCCGGCUAGCUCCACAAAGAUUUAUUGCUUUUUGACAAUUUGGAGAUGACGUAGGUAGCCUCGUUAUACGAAGAAAGGACUUUGAUAAAGUUACUAAGGGCGUACGGGGGAUGCCUAGGUACAUGGAGACGAUGAAGGACGUGGUAAGCUGCGAUAAGCCCCGGGUAAGUGCAAACAACUUUAGAUCCGAGGAUUUCCGAAUGGGGAAACCCGG
This 939-nucleotide small RNA is filed under the name uncultured bacterium. Its description in RNAcentral is "bacterial SSU rRNA". The stretch from base 1 to 489 matches the Rfam family "Bacterial small subunit ribosomal RNA", at positions 1045 to 1533 of the family's 1533-position model. The record is from RNAcentral.